This is a non-coding RNA of Ailuropoda melanoleuca (giant panda), 73 nucleotides long. Lineage: Eukaryota; Metazoa; Chordata; Mammalia; Carnivora; Ursidae. The record is from Rfam.
GCCUAGCUGGCUCAGUUGGUAGAGCAUGCGACUCUUGAUCUUGGGGUCAUGAGUUGGGGCCCCAUGUUGGGCG